AUCGCUUCUCGGCCUUUUGGCUAAGAUCAAGUGUAGGAAGAUGAAGUCCAUCCUAAAUCUGUUUCUGAUGCUAUAAGGUCAUAUUUCUGAGAAUCACAAACCAUUUUAGUAAAGAGGACUCUGA
Molecule: small nuclear RNA, 124 nt
Organism: Rattus norvegicus (Norway rat)
Lineage: Eukaryota; Metazoa; Chordata; Mammalia; Rodentia; Muridae
Product: U2 spliceosomal RNA
Source: Ensembl